GACGAACGCUGGCGGCGUGCUUAACACAUGCAAGUCGAGCGGUAAGGCCCUUUCGGGGGUACACGAGCGGCGAACGGGUGAGUAACACGUGGGUGACCUGCCCUCAGCUCUGGGAUAAGCCUGGGAAACUGGGUCUAAUACUGGAUAUGACUCCACGGUGCAUGUCGUGGGGUGGAAAGCCUUGUGCGGCUGAGGAUGGGCCCGCGGCCUAUCGGCUUGUUGGUGGGGUGAUGGCCUACCAAGGCGACGACGGGUAGCCGGCCUGAGAGGGCGACCGGCCACACUGGGACUGAGACACGGCCCAGACUCCUACGGGAGGCAGCAGUGGGGAAUCUUGCGCAAUGGGCGAAAGCCUGAACGCAGCGACGCCGCGUGAGGGAUGACGGCCUGGUGU
This 394-nucleotide ribosomal RNA is filed under the name uncultured bacterium. Its description in RNAcentral is "bacterial SSU rRNA". It matches the Rfam family "Bacterial small subunit ribosomal RNA", at positions 28 to 422 of the family's 1533-position model. The record is from RNAcentral.